Molecule: ribosomal RNA, 474 nt
Filed under: Simulium damnosum
Lineage: Eukaryota; Metazoa; Arthropoda; Insecta; Diptera; Simuliidae
Description: partial 16S ribosomal RNA
Rfam family: Bacterial large subunit ribosomal RNA
Source: RNAcentral
AUAAGGUCUAACCUGCCCACUGAAUUUUGUUUGAAGGGCCGCAGUAUUUUGACUGUGCAAAGGUAGCAUAAUCAUUAGUCUUUUAAUUGAAGGCUGGUAUGAAUGGUUGGACGAGAUACAAGCUGUGUCAUAAAAAUUAAAAUUUGAAUUUAUCUUUUUAGUUAAAAGACUAAAAUAAAAUUAAAAGACGAGAAGACCCUAUAGAGCUUUAUAUAAUUAAUAUUUAAAUUAUUAAGAUUUUUUAAAUUAAAAUAUUAUUUUAUAUUUUGUUGGGGUGACAAUAAAAUUUAUAAAACUUUUAUUUUUAUUAAACAUUAAUUUAUGAUUAGAUGAUCCAGUUUUAUUGAUUAUAAAUUUAAGUUACCUUAGGGAUAACAGCGUAAUUUUUUUUGAGAGUUCUUAUCGACAAAAAAGAUUGCGACCUCGAUGUUGGAUUAAGAGUAAUUUUGGGUGUAGAAGUUCAAAAUUUAAGUC